GGGGACGCGUGGUAUCGACAGGGAAGAGGAGUUACAGAAUUGCAGGUUGAGGCGCCGUGGUCCUCAUAAAAAAACGGCAAAAAAACAACUGGCGAACCUGAACUGGUUCUGGCUGGCUAAUUUAAGCUGGCCCAUCCACUCCAGCCCCACCCCGACGGGCUGGUACUGGGUGACGAAAUGCCGGGGUGCCGCACCUGGGACACCGAUACCGGGAGCGAAAGAAAUAAUCGGCUGGCCAGGUUUGAAUUGUUGCCGGUUGAUAUCAGCCUGGCGAGAUUAUUAUAACCGGAUAAACCUGUAGUAGAUUCUGGGCUAUCUUUUCUGGACGGGGAGUUCGACUCUCCCCCGUCUCCACCA
Molecule: transfer-messenger RNA, 357 nt
Filed under: Dehalococcoidales bacterium
Lineage: Bacteria; Bacillati; Chloroflexota; Dehalococcoidia; Dehalococcoidales
Rfam family: transfer-messenger RNA
About the family: Bacterial tmRNA, also known as 10Sa RNA or SsrA, is named for its dual tRNA and mRNA-like properties. Its role is to liberate the mRNA from a stalled ribosome.
Source: RNAcentral